This 378-nucleotide ribosomal RNA is filed under the name uncultured cyanobacterium. Its description in RNAcentral is "bacterial SSU rRNA". It matches the Rfam family "Bacterial small subunit ribosomal RNA", at positions 376 to 770 of the family's 1533-position model. Lineage: Bacteria; Bacillati; Cyanobacteriota. The record is from RNAcentral.
CGCCAGCCUGACGGAGCCAGACCGCGUGGGGGAGGAAGGCCCUUGGGUUGUAAACCCCUUUUCUCAGGGAAGAAACCUGACGGUACCUGAGGAAAAAGCCUCGGCUAACUCCGUGCCAGCAGCCGCGGUAAUACGGAGGAGGCAAGCGUUAUCCGGAAUUAUUGGGCGUAAAGCGUCCGCAGGGGGCGCAUCAAGUCUGCUGUCAAAGGUCGGAGCUUAACUCCGGAAAGGCAGUGGAAACUGAAGCGCUAGAGUGCGGUAGGGGUAGAGGGAAUUCCCGGUGUAGCGGUGAAAUGCGUAGAGAUCGGGAAGAACAUCGGUGGCGAAAGCGCUCUACUGGGCCGCAACUGACACUCAGGGACGAAAGCUAGGGGAGCG